Long non-coding RNA from Canis lupus familiaris (dog), 1526 nucleotides. RefSeq lists it as uncharacterized. Lineage: Eukaryota; Metazoa; Chordata; Mammalia; Carnivora; Canidae. The transcript has 4 exons. The record is from RefSeq and is a predicted model, not a curated record.
GGCCGAAGGAGGGGAGAGGAAGAGGAGGUCGUGGGGAGCAGAGAACAAUUGAGUGGAGAAAGUAAUUACAGACUCUGAAUAACUGAAGAAAACCAACUGGGUAACGUGUCAGAAGUUACAGGGAAGGAUGACUUACAUGUGCAGGUCACAGUAACAGUAACACCUAUCGUAAACGUGUACUUCUGGCCUGGGCACUACUCCGCUAGGAGCUUUUGGAUCUCUUCCAGAAUGCCACAUUCCACCUGAUGGUCAUAUCUCCUCUUGGCUGUGACCAUUACUCAGACUUUCCUUAUUUUUGAUGACCUUGACAGUUUUGAGGAGGACUGGUCAGAUGGAAACACUGAGGCACAGAGAGGUUAGCAAAUGGAAGAAACAAUGAUUGAAACUCAACACUGACCCAACUUCAUGCCGCAUGCUUAUUUGGCCUCCCCAGCCCUUGUCUGCUGAGGUCCUGACAACAGGAGAGUACCUUCAAGGCAGUCAGGGUGAUUUCCUUUAUAGUUAUUCCUCCCAAAUGGUUGUAAACAAUUUACUAAUAUGUUUAAUUAAAUGAGAGCAAUUUCCCCAAUCAGCUAUUUGCUGAACUGAUUAUUUGAUUAUUUGUGUAACCUCAGUGGCUACCUUCUGAGGGCAGUUGGUUAAUCCAGAAAGAACUGCCCUAAAAAUUAGUCAAGAACCUGUGUUUCUGAGAGUGGCUCUCAAACUGUGCUCACCUUGAAUUCAAUGAUAGUUACCUGGACUUCUUGUUAAACAUCCAGUUCCUUGGGGGAGGAUGACCAUCCGUCCCAGUUUGCCCAAAAUCAAGCAGUUCCCGGGAUAUGGGAUUUUCUGGCUAAAGCCCAAACCCAGGACAGUACCAGGCAAACCAGUUUUGUUGGUCGCCCGACCAUAGAGCAACCUGCUUGUAAACAAACUACCCAGGAGAUUGUUGUAAACAUAUACUACAUCAGAUAUGGGAAUGAAUUAUUGGAAGAACUGGUGGCGAGUUGCUGGAGACACUGAGAAAACGCUGAGUUUCAUCUGGGUAUGUUUGCUUCUAUCUGAAGUUGAGGUACAAAACUAUCACCCAACGUUCAGCCCAGAUGACAUCAGUGGGGAUGCUUUUUCAGUCUUUAGGUAAGAGAUGGGCCCAAUUUUCCCAACUCCACAUUUUUGCUGAGGGAUGAUGAGAGCGUCCAAAAGAUAUUAGGUCCUUUUGAGGCCAUUAUUUAUCAGUUGGGAUCGAUGAAUCUGUGUUAACCUGGGGCAGUGGUUCUCCACCUUGGCAGCUCAGUAUAAUCACCAGGGAGAGUUAAAAAACCCUAAGGCCCAGGCCCACCCCAGACCAAUUUCAUCAGAAUCUCUGGGAUUGUGAGCCAGGCACCAGUAAUUUUAUAGUUGGGGAGCCAUAGAUCUGAAGCAGCCCUCUCCAGUAGAAAUAAUAUGGAGCUGUCAUUUUCUUGUAGUCACAUUUUAAAAAGUAAAAGCAGCCCAUGAAUUUUAAGACUAUAUUAAACUUAAUGCAGUGUAUCUGAAAUUUUAUCUUU